GAUGAACGCUGGCGGCGUGCCUAAUACAUGCCAGUCGAGCGAACGGACGAGAAGCUUGCUUCUCUGAUGUUAGCGGCGGACGGGUGAGUAACACGUGGAUAACCUACCUAUAAGACUGGGAUAACUUCGGGAAACCGGAGCUAAUACCGGAUGAUAUUUUGAACCGCAUGGUUCAAAAGUGAAAGACGGUCUUGCUGUCACUUAUAGAUGGAUCCGCGCUGCAUUAGCUAGUUGGUAAGGUAACGGCUUACCAAGGCAACGAUGCAUAGCCGACCUGAGAGGGUGAUCGGCCACACUGGAACUGAGACACGGUCCAGACUCCUACGGGAGGCAGCAGUAGGGAAUCUUCCGCAAUGGGCGGAAGCCUGACGGAGCAACGCCGCGUGAGUGAUGAAGGUCUUCGGAUCGUAAAACUCUGUUAUUAGGGAAGAACAUAUGUGUAAGUAACUGUGCACAUCUUGACGGUACCUAAUCAGAAAGCCACGGCUAACUACGUG
RNAcentral lists this ribosomal RNA (497 nucleotides) under uncultured bacterium. RNAcentral's name for it is "partial 16S ribosomal RNA". It matches the Rfam family "Bacterial small subunit ribosomal RNA", at positions 28 to 507 of the family's 1533-position model. The record is from RNAcentral.